Long non-coding RNA from Equus asinus (donkey), 2065 nucleotides. NCBI's taxonomy places the organism in Eukaryota, Metazoa, Chordata, Mammalia, Perissodactyla, Equidae. The record is from Ensembl.
AAAAAAAAAAAAAAAAAGCUAAAUGAGUGAAUUAAAAAGACACGGGUUCCACAAAAAAAAAAGGAUUGUGACAGAAAAGGCUGUUAUUAUUAAAACUUGUCAGACUGCCCCAUCUGAAAGAAAAGAAGAUACAGGUUCCCGGGCACUAACUAAGAUGAAAUACUUCUCAUAGUAAGGGUUACAUGCUCUCAAUUAUACUUUACUGUUUGCCACAGCUCUUCUCUGCCAAAGCAAAGAUAAACAAAUUAACUUCCUCAGAGUGACUUAAGAUAUGGGAUAAAGAUGCUUCCAGGAAACAUCUGAGCCCUGGAGUGACAGUAUGCCUGGAAGACUCCAUCAUAAAUAAUAUUAACUCUGACCUGUUCGAAAUGGCUUUAUGAUUUAAAAAUUUUAGUUCAUUGCAUGCUGAGAAGCAUUUGACAGAUACCCUCCAGUUAAAGGAGUAGGCUCUCAUCAAGUCAACAGAAAGCGUCUCCCCUAGCCCAUUUCCAGAGGGUGUAGGUUGGUUUAAUCAUUGAUAAUAUUCUUCAUAUAUGGAACUUUUGCACCUGACUUUCUAUCCUGGAGGCACACACGAGUUUUUCAAGGAUGGCUUUGUCAACCACAGACUUGCAUGUCAAGCAUCUAUGCGUGCUGGUCGUGUUUUGUGCCGUGUGGUGUGUCACCAAGAAACAGAAGUAGCAAGUGGGCUGUGUCCGUAUGGAUGCCUCAUGUGAAAAUGAUUUAAAGCUACCAGCCGGACCGCAUAGAAAUCCAGUCUCCAUUGCAUUAGGCUCAAGGCAACUGAAUUGCACAGUGGACCAGGCUUUUUGAGAAGCAAAUAUAAGCAAAGUAUGUGUCAAGUAGUAUUUUUACAAAAACAUUUUCCUCCUUUCUCCCGACAUGCCACUGCCAUCGGCGAAGCGCAUACGUCCUCUGUUCUGAUCCUGGCAGCUCACGGCAAUCAUCUCUGGCAGGUAGAGGAGAGCCCGGUCGCCUUUAAGUCAGGAAGAGGACGGAGAGAGCGGACAUGGGCGUCGUGCUCUCCCCCUUCCUCCGUUCCAAGUUGGGGCGAGGGGCGUUGGACACGUGAUUGAACACGUUCUGUGCGAUGCGCGGGUGAUGAGCCACGGUCGUCUGGACAGUAAACCGAGCGAGAAUUCCCAUGGGGUUCGAAGCAGAAGCGAAGAAAAGCUCUAGCGCCAUCUGGUGGCCGCGUGCCCGCCACGGCCCGAGCGCCCGGCCCGCGCCCUGUCCCCCAGUCCUCCCGGGGCGUCGGCGCUGUGCCCCCGCUAGCCGGCCGCCGGGAGCAAACCGCCCAGAGAGCCAGACUUAGGGGCUCGACGUCCCCCGAACACACUUCAGUGGGCGACCAUCACCUUCCUCUCCAGGGUCUGGGGACCACUGCUCAGAACUGGUCUUAAUGAUCUCAGCCUCCCGUUGGGGCCUAGGAGCCACCUGGUAAGAAUGGGCCUAGCUUGUCUGCUGUGGUGGGAGGACGUCCCCACUCUGAAGAUUUUUUUUGACUGCUUUGUGCCUCCAUUCUCUCCCAGGUGGACCAAGGGACGGCCUACAAUGGCUUUCUUCCUAGACAGAAACGCCGCUAGGUCACCACUCAUGUUAUAUAGUCAGAAGCCUUGCUUUAAAAAUUAGAUUGCAAAGUAGAGUAUAUCUCAUAUAAUUAAACAUGGUUUUUUUCCCCAAUCGUUUUUGUGAGUUUAUUACAAAUGGACUAAUUUUGCUGUAAGCAAAAUGUCUUUUAUUAUGCUGACAAUGUAUAAACAGAGAUUAAAGGUUUUUCCCUGAGAAUAGUUUGAAAUACCAACAUGGAAGAAUGACGAGUAGUUUCACUGAUGGCCGUGCUGUUUGCAGCGGCCCCCUCUGAAGCGAGGAGUCUGGGUCAGGACUUUCCCCCAGUAGAGACGUUGUAACAAUUACACUGAAUUCAGGAGACUUCCUUUAAAUAAGCAAAUGUUUCCAGUAACAACGGAAUGUAAACAUGACUCCAGUUAGUGAAUUUACUACUAUCUCUUUCCUAUCUGUGAUUUUAGCUGCGUUCAGCUAAAAGAGUAAAAUUUCUCUAGCU